CGUGUAAAAAAAAAUGCCGUCGCUGUAAAUUCCGGUUUCGGUCCCAAAGCGUUUGGGGGCUCGGGGCGUACCCGCGGGCUUGCAGUUCCCUCCUCUUUGGGUUGCGCAUCCAGUGGGCGCAGCAGACCCUGAGG
Molecule: unclassified non-coding RNA, 134 nt
Organism: Microcebus murinus (gray mouse lemur)
Lineage: Eukaryota; Metazoa; Chordata; Mammalia; Primates; Cheirogaleidae
Source: Ensembl